Molecule: ribozyme, 112 nt
Filed under: Aedes aegypti (yellow fever mosquito)
Lineage: Eukaryota; Metazoa; Arthropoda; Insecta; Diptera; Culicidae
Description: drz-agam-1 ribozyme
Rfam family: drz-agam-1 ribozyme
Source: Rfam by way of RNAcentral
UCCCCAGCAACUCCUAUCCCUACCUCCUGGCGGUACUAUCCGGGGUACGAGUAACCUUAGUUCGGGUAACCAACCUCCGGUGGAAACUUUGGUCGUAUGCUGACAGGGAAGG